CGCCCGGCCCCGCGCGCUGCAGCCGCCGCCUCUCCUCGGCUUCCUCUUGCUUUCCAGUAACUCUCCUCCUGGGGAAAAGGCUUCUCACGGAGCAGGCUCGGAGCCUACGGGGCUGGCCUCGGACUGGAUGGGGAUUGGGGGCAGGAGCUGCUUUUUCAAUGAGAAGAAGGAACAGACCUAGUAGGCAUUGCCUUCAGACCCAGAGAAAAUGGAUAAUGAAGCCCACAGAUUUCACUCCAGAACUGACUUUGCUGCAGAGGAGCGAGGAGAGCUGCCUGGCAACACAACGCAUCGCUGUGCAUAAACUUUGUUUACAGCCAAGGCUGGAGUAAAGGAACAGAUGGCAAGAAAAUCGGAUUUAAAGAAAGGAAGGAUGUGCCUGCAUCUGGGAGCUCGGUAAAUCUCUUGGCUUCUGGUGUGCAUACAAGGGUGACGACUAGCUACCCCAGCAGUCGCAUCCCAGUUUGCUGUUGAUUUUUGCCUGUUUGGAUCUGUCUCUGAGGAUGGUUAAUACAUCUUAUUACAAGCAUUUAUCUCAUCCCUCCCACAGGAAAUGUGUUUUCCCAGGGAUUUGUAUGAUCCCUAACCUUUUAUGGAGAGCAGUUUCUUGAUCAUCCAUGUGAUUGUGUAUCUAAAAUUUCAAGAAUAUUUAAGCUGUUAAUCCUGCUUGUCUGUAAAAGAUGGGUUUAUAUUUCUAUGAUCUUGGAAAUAUUUACAAUGAGUGUGUAUAACAAGGAGAAAUAAGCAUAAACAUUUAUGCGUGCCACAUUCGUAAGCGUGCUUGCACACACACCCACUUCAUGCUUUAUUGUCUCUCUCCGGUGCUUUUCUCUGAAGGCAAAACCGUUUGAAGCAGCUGCCCCUCACAAUAUAUGAAAUAGCUAUUACCAAGGCUCACAGUAAAGCUGCCCAAGGCUUGCUUACCCCGCCCUCCAGAAGGAAAGUGCAAGUUACUCU
RNAcentral lists this long non-coding RNA (957 nucleotides) under Macaca nemestrina (pig-tailed macaque). RNAcentral's name for it is "lncRNA (ENSMNEG00000045733.1)". Lineage: Eukaryota; Metazoa; Chordata; Mammalia; Primates; Cercopithecidae. The record is from RNAcentral.